CUACGGGCCGCAGCAGCAAGGAAUAUUGUACAAUGGGGGAAACCCUGAUACAGCAACGCCGCGUGAAGGAAGAAGGCCUUCGGGUUGUAAACUUCUGUUUUAGAGGAAGAAAAAAAUGACGGUACUCUUAGAGGAAGCCCCGGCAAACUACGUGCCAGCAGCCGCGGUAACACGUAGGGGGCAAGCGUUGUCCGGAAUCACUGGGCGUAAAGGGCGCGUAGGCGGUUUAUUAAGUUGCAUGUGAAAUCCCAGGGCUCAACUCUGGACCUGCAUGCAAAACUGGUAGACUUGAGUAUGGCAGAGGCAAGUGGAAUUCCUAGUGUAGCGGUGGAAUGCGUAGAGAUUAGGAGGAACACCAGUGGCGAAGGCGACUUGCUGGGCCAAAACUGACGCUGAGGCGCGAAAGCGUGGGGAGCAAACAGGAUUAGAUACCCGCGUAGUC
RNAcentral lists this ribosomal RNA (442 nucleotides) under uncultured bacterium. RNAcentral's name for it is "partial 16S ribosomal RNA". It matches the Rfam family "Bacterial small subunit ribosomal RNA", at positions 339 to 795 of the family's 1533-position model. The record is from RNAcentral.